GGCAGAUGAUUGAAAACUGAG
RNAcentral lists this microRNA (21 nucleotides) under Gallus gallus (chicken). Its description in RNAcentral is "gga-miR-1766". The record is from miRBase by way of RNAcentral. Lineage: Eukaryota; Metazoa; Chordata; Aves; Galliformes; Phasianidae.